CCGGGUGCGUUACGCGUGGGAAUCUGCCCUUGGGUGCGGAAUAACGCUGUUGAAUUACUGCUAAUACCGGAUGAUGUCAAAAGACCCACAAUUUCUCCCCCGACGAUGAGCCCGCGUACACUUACCUAGUUGGUGAGGUAAGAGCUCACCAAGGCGACGAUCAUUACCUGGGCUGAGAGGAUGAUCGCCCUGACUGCUACUGACACACCGGCCACACGCCUACGGGAGGCAGAAAUGGGGAAUAUUGAACUAUGGGGCAGGCCCUGAUCCAUCAAUGCCGCGUGAGUGAUGAAGGCCUUAGGGUUGUAAAGCUCUUUUACCCGGGAUGAUAAUGACAGUACCGGGAGAAUAAGCCCCGGCUAACUCCGUGCCAGCAGCCGCGGUAAUACGGAGGGGGCUAGCGUUAUUCGGAAUUACUGGGCGUAAAGCGCACGUAGGCGGCUUUGUAAGUCAGAGGUGAAAGCCUGGAGCUCAACUCCAGAACUGCCUUUGAGACUGCAUCGCUUGAAUCCAGGAGAGGUGAGUGGAAUUCCGAGUGUAGAGGUGAAAUUCGUAGA
This 557-nucleotide ribosomal RNA is filed under the name Alphaproteobacteria bacterium BvORHM062. RNAcentral describes it as "bacterial SSU rRNA". It matches the Rfam family "Bacterial small subunit ribosomal RNA", at positions 100 to 694 of the family's 1533-position model. Lineage: Bacteria; Pseudomonadati; Pseudomonadota; Alphaproteobacteria. The record is from RNAcentral.